CUCUCCCGCAACCACCUCUAGCUAGCCGCAUCCUCCUCCUCCUCCUCCUCUCCCCGGCCGCCCUCUUCCUACGCCGCUAGCCUCCUCUUUCGGUGCUUGCCGUGAUGUGAAUUAUGGCGUGGAAAGGUGCGCGGGCAUGCUCUCCACAGGCUUUCUUGAACUGUGAACUCGCGGGCGGAUUGUGGCGCUCCCGCCUUCUCUUCGGCCGCCUCCGCCUGUUGAUGGUUCAAGAAAGCCCAUGGAAACCAUGCCCGCCUCCUGUGUCUCGCCUCUGCCCGGCGACGUGGGUUGCAGCUCUGUGUCUUUGCUCGCAGAAUUUCGCGUCCGUUUUCCUGAAUUAUUCCUUUUUUGCUCUGAAUUCUGUGUUUGUCUGCUUGAAUUAUGAGUCUUUGGUCUGAAUUCUGUGUCUGUUUACCUGGAUUAUGCGUUUUUUGCUCUGAAUUUUCAGUCUGCUGGUCUGAAUUGCGCGUCUGUGCUCUGAAUUUUCAGUCUGCUGCCCUGAAUUAUACGUCUGCUGGCUGGCCUGAAUUGUGUGUCCGUGCUCUGAAAUAUGGGUCUGCUGGUCUGAAUGAUGCGUCUGUUCGUCUUAAUUACGCGCCUCUGCUUCGAAUUAUGUGUUUGUUCGCCUGAAUUACGCGUGCUUGCUCUGAAUUUUGCUCUUCUGCUGCUCAAUUCAGGGAAUUCUCUUGGCGGUCCUUCUCGAGCCAUCAAACACGUGAAUUCCGCCGUGCGGGGGUGGGUGGAUAAUUGCGGCGUUAAUUGCCUUGUCCCGUUGGAGCAAGUCCACGGCAGUUGCGCCAGGGAUUUACCUGGCCUAAAUUCGGCAACAGGAUGGCCUGAAUUCGGCCAUCGUAAAUGCUGCCUGCAGUUGCGUUUGGCCUGUCUGGACAAUUUUCGUCUUUUCCCAAUUCUGAAUCGCUCAUCCAUCCACGCCCUGUUUAUGGAAAAUUCAGAACAAGAGCCCAAUUGCCCAUCCACGCUCUGCUUAUGGAAAUUUCAGAACACAAGCCCCGGUGUGUUCAUGGAAAAUUCAGAACACAAGCAUAAUUGCCCGCGUGAGGAAACGCCCGGCCCGAGAGCUUAGGUCGAUUUCCAUGCAAGAGUUCUUCAGACCAGAGACGACGCCGCUGCUAAACGCUAAAGCAAGCCGAGAAUUCAGAUCUUUUUUAUUUAUUUAUUUUCAAAUUGAGAAUUCAGAUCAGGAAUGGUGUCAAAAGGUUUGGCCGAAGCAGCCUUGAGAAUCCUUCAGUGUUUUUACUUUCUGACUGAAGCAAUUUUCAGAAUU
Triticum aestivum (bread wheat) is the source of this 1285-nucleotide long non-coding RNA. RefSeq lists it as uncharacterized. Lineage: Eukaryota; Viridiplantae; Streptophyta; Magnoliopsida; Poales; Poaceae. The record is from RefSeq and is a predicted model, not a curated record. The transcript has 2 exons.